CUGCAGCUCAAUUGGUGACCACUAUUAUUGGGCCUAAAACGUUCGUAGCCGGUUUGGUAAAUGCCUGGGUAAAUCGUGUAGCGUAACUAUACGAAUUCCGGGUAGACUGCCAAACUUGAGACCGGGAGAAGCUAGAGGUACUCCUGGGGUAGAGGUGAAAUUCUGUAAUCCUGGGGGGACCACCAGUGGCGAAGGCGUCUAGCUAGAACGGGUCUGACGGUGAGGAACGAAGCCCUGGGGCGCAAACCGGAUUAGAUACCCGAGUAGUCC
RNAcentral lists this ribosomal RNA (270 nucleotides) under uncultured archaeon. RNAcentral's name for it is "partial 16S ribosomal RNA". It matches the Rfam family "Archaeal small subunit ribosomal RNA", at positions 477 to 747 of the family's 1478-position model. The record is from RNAcentral.